UUUCGAGCGUUGAAAAGUGCGCAGUAGUGAACAUAUUCCCUGUAUAGAGAGCUAGCGGUUGGUGUAAGCUAGUCAUAAUAUGGACACGAAUUACACAUUUGGAGCGAGAACGUAAGCGUCGCGUUAAGACGUAUGAGCCGGAAGAAUCAUUUUUUCUUCAAGCUGGGUGGUACCGCGUUAAAUUGUGAUUAACGUCCCUGCA
Molecule: non-coding RNA, 202 nt
Filed under: Viridibacillus arenosi
Lineage: Bacteria; Bacillati; Bacillota; Bacilli; Caryophanales; Caryophanaceae
Description: T-box sequence
Rfam family: T-box leader
About the family: Uncharged tRNA acts as the effector for transcription antitermination of genes in the T-box leader family. T-boxes are found upstream of many aminoacyl-tRNA synthetase genes and some amino acid biosynthetic genes usually in Gram-positive bacteria. The anticodon of a specific tRNA base pairs to a specifier sequence within the T-box motif, and the NCCA acceptor tail of the tRNA base pairs to a conserved bulge in the T-box antiterminator hairpin.
Source: RNAcentral